RNAcentral lists this non-coding RNA (27 nucleotides) under Mus musculus (house mouse). The record is from RNAcentral. Lineage: Eukaryota; Metazoa; Chordata; Mammalia; Rodentia; Muridae.
UACAGACCCUGUGAUCCAGACAGCUGA